RNAcentral lists this ribosomal RNA (497 nucleotides) under uncultured bacterium. RNAcentral's name for it is "partial 16S ribosomal RNA". It matches the Rfam family "Bacterial small subunit ribosomal RNA", at positions 28 to 507 of the family's 1533-position model. The record is from RNAcentral.
GACGAACGCUGGCGGCGUGCCUAAUACAUGCAAGUUGAGCGCUGAAGGUUGGUACUUGUACCAACUGGAUGAGCAGCGAACGGGUGAGUAACGCGUGGGGAAUCUGCCUUUGAGCGGGGGACAACAUUUGGAAACGAAUGCUAAUACCGCAUAAAAACUUUAAACACAAGUUUUAAGUUUGAAAGAUGCAAUUGCAUCACUCAAAGAUGAUCCCGCGUUGUAUUAGCUAGUUGGUGAGGUAAAGGCUCACCAAGGCGAUGAUACAUAGCCGACCUGAGAGGGGGAUCGGCCACAUUGGGACUGAGACACGGCCCAACCGCCUACGGGAGGCAGCAGGAGGGGAUCUUCGGCAAUGGACGAAAGUCUGACCGAGCAACGCCGCGUGAGUGAAGAAGGUUUUCGGAUCGUAAAACUCUGUUGGUAGAGAAGAACGUUGGUGAGAGUGGAAAGCUCAUCAAGUGACGGUAACUACCCAGAAAGGGACGGCUAACUACGUG